Molecule: ribosomal RNA, 253 nt
Filed under: uncultured bacterium
Lineage: Bacteria
Description: partial 16S ribosomal RNA
Rfam family: Bacterial small subunit ribosomal RNA
Source: RNAcentral
UACGUAGGGUGCGAGCGUUGCCCGGAAUUAUUGGGCGUAAAGGGCUCGUAGGCGGUCUGUUGCGUCAGGAGUGAAAACUCGGGGCUUAACCCCGAGCCUGCUUCUGAUACGGGCAGACUAGAGGUAUGCAGGGGAGAACGGAAUUCCUGGUGUAGCGGUGAAAUGCGCAGAUAUCAGGAGGAACACCGGUGGCGAAGGCGGUUCUCUGGGCAUUACCUGACGCUGAGGAGCGAAAGUGUGGGGAGCGAACAGG